This 170-nucleotide non-coding RNA is filed under the name Bhargavaea cecembensis. RNAcentral describes it as "GlcN6P sequence". It matches the Rfam family "glmS glucosamine-6-phosphate activated ribozyme aptamer". Rfam says of the family: This entry contains a glucosamine-6-phosphate activated ribozyme that is found in the mRNA for GlmS. GlmS is an enzyme that uses fructose-6-phosphate and glutamine to generate glucosamine-6-phosphate. RNAcentral also lists the same sequence under 1 other name. The record is from RNAcentral. Lineage: Bacteria; Bacillati; Bacillota; Bacilli; Caryophanales; Caryophanaceae.
AAACAAUCAAAAGCGCCUGAGCUGGGGAAAUCGGAUCACAGCCCCAGCAGACGAGGUGGAGGUUCAUCGACAAUUCGGCGGAUGCCUCCCGACCGCGAUGCCCGGUUGUCAUGCUUUCCAGCAAAACACACAAGCGAUUGUGUGACACAGAGGGGAAAGCCGGCAUCAAU